UGCAGAUAUUCUUUAAAGGAUGGAGUGAAGUUCUGCCCAUUUUGUACUCAACCUUUCUGGGCUUUUUCUUUGAUGGUGGAGGGGAAAACGAGGAAAUGCCAACAUCAAAGCUUUCUGGUGGAGCACAAAUUCACUAUAUUUUUCAAUCAAUCUUUGUGAAGAGUUUGGAAGUUUGCAUCACACUACUUUAUGAUCUUAUCUCCAAGAAGUGGAUCCAUGUGAUGACUCAACUGAUGAAGACAUCCGCACCACUAUUCAAAAUGCUACUGGCCCUAAAAGUGCUUUAUUUGUACCAGAGGCUCAAGGGGUUUAAAAGGUUGGGUGGUUCUUUGUUAUUCUAGCAGACUCUGACGGUACAUGCACUUGUACUCUGAAAUUGUACAUGCAUCAUGCAUGUAAUUCACUCAAGGACUAAUUAAAAAUGUCUGCCAUACUGAACUACUAAAACUCUGAAGUUACACUACCAUUGAGUAAGCAAACGUUUACAACCUUCUUUCAUUAUUUUUAUUGUACUUCGGUUUUCUAUAGAAAGCUGUCAUUUAUUUUCAUGUUGUACAAAUUAUUCAAGCCAUUAAAUUUGUUUUUUUUUUUUUUUUUGAAAAUGAUGAGGUUGGAAUUCAUAAAUAUUGAUGUCUUCUUGAUUUGUUAGAACUCUUUAGCAAGCAACAACUGAUCCUAACAUAAUGGCUAUUUCGAUUCCAAGAGUAGUUGAAUAACUUGCAAUGAACUUUCUACAUUCAUUCCCAGUGAGAUUGGCAUGACAGGCUACAUUCAUUCCAGAUUUCGAUGAUACUUUGUGGUAAGUGUUGAUUGAUUGCAUUUUUAUUUCCCAUCUGCUUUUGUCUUGAUGUGCUGAGUUGUAGAUUGCAAGUAUUAUAGUACCCUAUCAUUUGUACACAUCCCUUGUUUUUAGAUCAACUCUUGAUUGUUUCUACAAAUAGUUUUAGAUUAAGAUCUAUAUUAAUAACAGAUUUUUUAUUUUAUUUUUGGUAUUUGAUUUUUUUAGAGACAAUCUAAAUCUUAUUUCAGGUAAUUCAUUGAGAACUCAGAGGUUUGCUGGCUAGUUUUGAAGCUUAAGAUUCAACUAUAUUAAUCAUUUCAAGCAGUUUAAUCCAAACUAUCCAAAGUUUAUUUCUUGAUCAAACUUUGGUUUAUACGUUAGUUUGAAUGUAAUUAUUAUAUUCACAAAAAAAGUGAGAAUUAGCUUAUAUUUUGAAAGAUUUAGCUCAUAUGAGUUGUGAGAUUUGGGAUAUA
Magnolia sinica is the source of this 1254-nucleotide long non-coding RNA. RefSeq lists it as uncharacterized. Lineage: Eukaryota; Viridiplantae; Streptophyta; Magnoliopsida; Magnoliales; Magnoliaceae. The transcript is spliced from 5 exons. The record is from RefSeq and is a predicted model, not a curated record.